UCGAGGCAUGAGAAGUAUGUGCCAAAAUCAGAAAUUUUGAUUAAAAUUCAGACUUUCUUGUUUUGAAAAUUUUCAUUGUUACAUAUUACUCCCCUUAAAUGAAUAUUAUCUCUUCCUAUAAUUUAUAAACUUAUUUCUCCUCCUAUAUCGCAACUUCUUUCUUUUCUUACUUCUCCCCUUUUUUGUUAUCAUCAAAAGAAUGUAUAGCAAUUGAUAUGUAAAAGCAAUAAAUGAUAAAAU
This 240-nucleotide long non-coding RNA is filed under the name Phoenix dactylifera (date palm). RNAcentral's name for it is "long non-coding RNA (PDAC_LNC009319)". The record is from RNAcentral. Lineage: Eukaryota; Viridiplantae; Streptophyta; Magnoliopsida; Arecales; Arecaceae.